GUAGGCUUUGGAAACUGUUUAACUUGAGUGCAGAAGGGGAGAGUGGAAUUCCAUGUGUAGCGGUGAAAUGCGUAGAUAUAUGGAGGAACACCGGUGGCGAAAGCGGCUCUCUGGUCUGUAACUGACGCUGAGGCUCGAAAGCGUGNGGAGCGAACAGGAUUAGAUACCCUGGUAGUNCACGCCGUAAACGAUGAGUGCUAGGUGUUAGGUCCUUUCCGGGACUUAGUGCCGCAGCUAACGCAUUAAGCACUCCGCCUGGGGAGUACGACCGCAAGGUUGAAGCUCAAAGGAAUUGACGGGGGCCCGCACAAGCGGUGGAGCAUGUGGUUUAAUUCGAAGCAACGCGAAGAACCUUACCAGGUCUUGACAUCCCGAUGCUAUUUCUAGAGAUAGGAAGUUUCUUCGGAACAUCGGUGACAGGUGGUGCAUGGUUGUCGUCAGCUCGUGUCGUGAGAUGUUGGGUUAAGUCCCGCAACGAGCGCAACCCUUAUUGUUAGUUGCCAUCAUUGAGUUGGGCACUCUAGCGAGACUGCCGGUAAUAAACCGGAGGAAGGUGGGGAUGACGUCAAAUCAUCAUGCCCCUUAUGACCUGGGCUACACACGUGCUACAAUGGCUGGUACAACGAGUCGCAAGCCGGUGACGGCAAGCUAAUCUCUGAAAGCCAGUCUCAGUUCGGAUUGUAGGCUGCAACUCGCCUACAUGAAGUCGGAAUCGCUAGUAAUCGCGGAUCAGCACGCCGCGGUGAAUACGUUCCCGGGCCUUGUACACACCGC
Molecule: ribosomal RNA, 774 nt
Filed under: uncultured bacterium
Lineage: Bacteria
Description: bacterial SSU rRNA
Rfam family: Bacterial small subunit ribosomal RNA
Source: RNAcentral